This 320-nucleotide long non-coding RNA is filed under the name Salmo salar (Atlantic salmon). RNAcentral describes it as "lncRNA (ENSSSAG00000116778.1)". Lineage: Eukaryota; Metazoa; Chordata; Actinopteri; Salmoniformes; Salmonidae. The record is from RNAcentral.
AGAAGGUGGUUGUUGAGAGGAGAGGAGGAGAAGGUGGUUGUUGAGAGGAGGAGGAAGUGGUUGUUGAAAGGAGGAGGAGGAAGUGGUGGUUGUUGAGAGGAGGAGGAGGAGGAGGUGGUUGUUGAGAGGAGGAGGAGGAGGAGGAGGUAGUUGAGAGGAGGAGGAGGUGGUUGUUGAGAGGAGGAGGAGGAGGAAGUGGUUGUUGAAAGGAGGAGGAGGAAGUGGUUGUUGAAAGGAGGAGGAGGAGGUGGUUGUUGAAAGGAGGAGGAGGAGGUGGUUGUUGAAAGGAGGAGGAGGAAGUGGUUGUUGAAAGGAGGAGG